CCGGUUCGUACAACCGACCCCGUCCACACCAUGGGAGUGGGUUUCACCAGAAGUAGUUAGCCUAACCGCAAGGAGGGCGACUACCACGGUGAGAUUCAUGACUGGGGUG
RNAcentral lists this ribosomal RNA (109 nucleotides) under uncultured bacterium. RNAcentral's name for it is "partial 16S ribosomal RNA". The stretch from base 25 to 109 matches the Rfam family "Bacterial small subunit ribosomal RNA", at positions 1398 to 1482 of the family's 1533-position model. The record is from RNAcentral.